AAAGAGGAUAAAGUGUCUGUCUCAGCACCUAAUUUGAAGUUUUUGAAUUCAAAAACUUCAAAUUAGGUGCUGGGGAGGAAAGUCCGAACACCAAAGGGCAGGAUACUUUCUAACUGAAAGUCCCGGCAACGGGAAGCCAGCUCCACAGAAACAAACCGUCUCGAAUUUUCGAGACAAGGGUGAAAUGGUGGUGUAAGAGACCACCAGAUCUCGAUGUGAAUCGAGAUGCUCGGAAAGCCUUAUCCGGUGCAAUGCCAAAUAGGAAAGCAAUGAAUCGGCCCGAUUCGCUUUCGGGUAGGCAGCUAAAAUCGGUCGCUUGCGAAUCCAUUUGGAUAUAGCAAUAUCCGAUUUAGAGAAAUAGACGCUCUAUCACUUGUUAGGUGAUAAACAGAAUUCGGCUUAAUAUCUUCUUUGACA
Molecule: RNase P RNA, 417 nt
Filed under: Candidatus Cloacimonadota bacterium
Lineage: Bacteria; Pseudomonadati; Candidatus Cloacimonadota
Description: RNase P RNA component class A
Rfam family: Bacterial RNase P class A
About the family: Ribonuclease P (RNase P) is a ubiquitous endoribonuclease, found in archaea, bacteria and eukarya as well as chloroplasts and mitochondria.
Source: RNAcentral